CCUACGGGAGGCAGCAGUGGGGAAUAUUGCGCAAUGGGCGAAAGCCUGACGCAGCGACGCCGCGUGAGGGAUGAAGGUCUUCGGAUCGUAAACCUCUGUCAGCAGGGAAGAACGGUCACUGUGCUAAUCAGCAGUGAAUUGACGGUACCUGCAAAGGAAGCACCGGCUAACUCCGUGCCAGCAGCCGCGGUAAUACGGAGGGUGCGAGCGUUAAUCGGAAUUACUGGGCGUAAAGCGCUCGUAGGCGGUAUGUCAAGUCAAGGGUGAAAUCCCCGCGCUCAACGUGGGAACUGCCUUUGAAACUGGGAAACUGGAGUGUGUGAGAGGAUAGUGGAAUUCCAGGUGUAGGAGUGAAAUGCGUAGAUAUAUGGAGGAACAGCAGUGGCGAAGGCGACUAUCUGGCACAUAACUGACGCUGAGGAGCGAAAGCGUGGGUAGCAAACAGGAUUAGAUACCCGAGUAGUC
RNAcentral lists this ribosomal RNA (465 nucleotides) under uncultured bacterium. Its description in RNAcentral is "partial 16S ribosomal RNA". It matches the Rfam family "Bacterial small subunit ribosomal RNA", at positions 338 to 795 of the family's 1533-position model. The record is from RNAcentral.